AUGAACGCUGGCGGCGUGCUUAACACAUGCAAGUCGAACGGGGAUGCUAUUUUCGAGGCGGUUAGUUUACUAAGCGCCAAGAUGCCGGCAUCUUAGUGGCGGACGGGUGAGUAACGCGUGGGUAACCUGCCUUAUACAGGGGGAUAACACUUAGAAAUAGGUGCUAAUACCGCAUAAGCGCACGGGGCUGCAUGGCCCAGUGUGAAAAACUCCGGUGGUAUAAGAUGGACCCGCGUCUGAUUAGCUUGUUGGCGGGGUAACGGCCCACCAAGGCGACGAUCAGUAGCCGGCCUGAGAGGGUGGACGGCCACAUUGGGACUGAGACACGGCCCAAACUCCUACGGGAGGCAGCAGUGGGGAAUAUUGGACAAUGGGGGGAACCCUGAUCCAGCGACGCCGCGUGAGUGAAGAAGUAUUUCGGUAUGUAAAGCUCUAUCAGCAGGGAAGAAAGAAAUGACGGUACCUGACUAAGAAGCCCCGGCUAACUACGUGCCAGCAGCCGCGGUAAUACGUAGGGGGC
RNAcentral lists this ribosomal RNA (520 nucleotides) under uncultured bacterium. Its description in RNAcentral is "bacterial SSU rRNA". It matches the Rfam family "Bacterial small subunit ribosomal RNA", at positions 29 to 535 of the family's 1533-position model. The record is from RNAcentral.